Long non-coding RNA from Echinops telfairi (small Madagascar hedgehog), 1443 nucleotides. RefSeq lists it as uncharacterized. The transcript is spliced from 2 exons. Lineage: Eukaryota; Metazoa; Chordata; Mammalia; Afrosoricida; Tenrecidae. The record is from RefSeq and is a predicted model, not a curated record.
CGAAGGCCUGGUUUUGCACGCACCCUGCCGUUCGAACUUUCAAGCGCGCCAAGGCUCCGCGCCUGCGCAGUGACGGCUUUCGUGCCUUUGUUUACGCUUCCAUUUCCAAAGCGAGACUUCGCCCCCCACGCCUUGCCCCCUUUCCCCUUGCUCGGCGCCAUCUUGUCCUUCCUCCAUCCAACUCUGUGUCGUUUCCUAUCACUCGAAGUCGAGAGGGAAGGAACGCGUGUCUCCAAAAUGGCGUUGGACGGGGCCGCUGUAGCGCUCUGUCUCCUGUGUUCCCAGCGUCUUCAGAGGGAACGGCACCGGCGGCAGCAGGACGUCCGGCGCCGGGCAGCGCUCCUGAGGCGCCGGGCUGCGCGCAGGGCCCUGCGCUUCGCCCUCUUCUUGUUCGCCCAGGCCUUGGGAUAUGGCCGCGCCGGCCACUGCAGGGCCCGGGGCAGUAACGCAGAGGAUGAGGACGGGCGGGCGAGCUGAGUGUCCGUGUCCGCGGAGGACAGCGCUCCCUGUUGCCCCCGCCCCUCGCGGGGCCCAGGCCCUGGGCCACUCCAUGUCCAGAGCCGGCAGCGCCCCCGGAGGUUUAGGUGGGGGGACCGGUUUGGGUGGUGGUAGCGCCGGGGGCAGCCCCCACCUGCUGAUGAGCCGAGGGCGCCCCCUGUGGGUCGGGGCACGCCCCAGCACCUUGGGGGCUGCCCGCUGGGGAAGUUGUGUUGCAGGCAGCCCUGCGGAGGGAAGGGCACCUUGGACGACGCCCUGGCAGAAACCUGUGCCCGUGCAGUCCAGCUCCGGGACACCCGACACGGGGCGCAUGGGCAUCACGCUGUGGCUGCUGCAGGCCUGGUGCCAACAACGCGGUGAGCCACACUUCAGUGUCUCCGCUGUGCAGCCCGCAGGGUCUCAAGUGAUGUUUGCCUGUGAGGUGGUCGUGGCGCCCACAGCAAGCUGGGCUGCCAGGGUGCCCACACAUCCCCUUCUUGGACCCCAGCAAUGAUUCCACUACUGCUUGCAGUCAAGAGGCCCUUUCUAGCCAGGCCCUGGACAGAUCGUCCCAGGGUGCCAUUUGCCCUGCUGCCGGUACAGGGUGCGUGGGCUGAGGCUGAGGGCAUGCUGGUCUCCGGAGCACUGAAGCUACCUCGUGCUGCCUUGAUGAGUCUCGAAGGAGGUUUCUUGGAUGGCCGGCUCCACUGGGGUCGCCCGGUGAACUGAGCAGGCUUGACCCCAGCAGAGGAAGACCGGCAGUCACACAUUGGACAGCAGUUCCUGGAUUCCUGAGACUCGGCCAUAGAAGACACAGAAAGACACAUGACCAGAAACUCGUAGCUUUUAAUUCCGGCAGGACAAAGGGAGACCAAGGGCAACGACUGCUACCGGUUUUCACCCGUCUCUGGCUCCCAGCGGGGAAGGGGAAACUGGUUGGGCGGAAUAAAAAUUGCCACACCCUUC